Long non-coding RNA from Brassica rapa (field mustard), 1401 nucleotides. RefSeq lists it as uncharacterized. The record is from RefSeq and is a predicted model, not a curated record. Lineage: Eukaryota; Viridiplantae; Streptophyta; Magnoliopsida; Brassicales; Brassicaceae.
CCAUACUAAAUGUCCAUAUUAGAUAAGAUAUUAUCCAUAAAAGAUAGAUAAGGGGAGAAGACUAUAAAUCUCACAAAGUGAUUAAGGUUAACCAGAUGAUAAUAUAGAUUUAUGAUAUGGAUCCAUUUUAAGGAUAGUUGUGAUCUAGGAUAAUAUAUUACAUUAUUUUGUGUUUACUUUAUUUGAUCAUGAAGGAUCUCAAAUUGUAGAAAGCAUCCCUUUUAUCAUAUAGAAGUGGUGGUGCUUUCUUUCUGAGUGCCCAUUUUGGUUACAACUUACAAGCCAAUGAAAUUAUCACACCAGUCUCUUAAAACAAAACAGUAAAGGGCACUAUUGCGUGGACUCUAAGAUCAUCACUUCCAUAUACAGAAAAGUUGUAUUAUUUCCUCAUUAGGAAAUUAAUUACAUUAUUUGGUUUGAUUUUCUGUUUUAUAUUCAAUAAGAAACAUCUACUUUUGCUACGUUAGACCGACGUUAUUAGAGCGAGCAUGAUAAAACCAUGAUACAAUCUCAAUAUACAAGUUUAUGCAAUCAUCGCAAUUCACGACUCGUACAGAUGAUCAUCAUUUGGUUACUCAAGCUUUGCCCGGCUAGUACUGAGUAGAGCUGGGCAUCAUUACUCGUUACUCGCCUUAAACUUGCUAUUUGACUCGUAUCCACUUUGAAAAUUCAAGUAUUCAGUGUUGUCAAGGCAAGUAACAAGUCGACAAUUUUCAUUACUUGCAAGACCAAGUUAAGUAUCAAGUAUCAUUAUAAUUUUUAGUACUUGACUCGUUACGCCCCGUUACUUGCCCCACUACUUGCUAUUUGUUACAUGAUCUAUUAAUUAUUUGUUUAUAUUUGUCUUUUCUUUUACUUGUAUUUAAGAUUCGACACAAAUAUUGGCUGUAACUGGAAUGCAAUUUUGUGGAAUAGAUUUGUUUGGAAUGUAUCAUUUCAUAACAUUCCAUAAAAUAUUUAUCAGUUAUAAUGAAUACCAUUUCAAAAUAAUUCCAUAUAUUCCAUAAAAUAUUUACCAGACACAAUGAGUACCAUUCCAAAACAAUUCCAUAUAUUUCAUUUUUGGAAUGAAACAAAAAUGAAAAUCCUUUGAAAAAUUCAUUCUUUUUGUUUCACAAAAUAAACCCUAGUGAAUAAAUGAAAUGAGUGGAAUCAACAAUUCCAUUAAUAAUUUCAGUUUCAGUUAUUCAUUACUCUUUUUAUACUUGUUACUUGUUUCGUAUUCAUCUUGAUUUUUAAAUAAUCGUUGUCUUCUAGUCAAGUAUUAUAUAAAGAAGACAAAUAAAAAAUAUAUAUGCAUCUUUCGAUAUAAACAUUGUAUAAUUUAUACGAUAACAAAAAUGUCUUCUCUAAACAAGUAACAUGUAAUAACAAAUCAUAUAACUAAAUUUUCAAGUAGAA